Molecule: long non-coding RNA, 204 nt
Organism: Pistacia vera
Lineage: Eukaryota; Viridiplantae; Streptophyta; Magnoliopsida; Sapindales; Anacardiaceae
Exons: 3
Source: RefSeq, a predicted model, not a curated record
GUGAUAGAUAUUCAGUGGUGAAGAUCUAAAGUUACAAGGAGAGUUUCGUUUCCAGGAAAAACAUCGAUCGAUCAACUGAUUUGGUUUCAGACUGGAUGUAUUCUGCUUACACACAAGGCUUUGCAAAUUGUGCCCUCUCAUUCUCAAGCUUGUAAGUGAUAGGGAUUUUGCAAAUCUAUGAACAUCGGUAUCUACUGCUGAGGU